Molecule: non-coding RNA, 97 nt
Organism: Triticum urartu
Lineage: Eukaryota; Viridiplantae; Streptophyta; Magnoliopsida; Poales; Poaceae
Source: Rfam
GUGAGCCGUAUGAUGGGCAACUACCUUCUGCGGUUCGGAGAGGACUCAGCGUUUAGUUACUACCACCUUGGUUUCGGAGUGGACCCUUUCACUCUAU